RNAcentral lists this long non-coding RNA (210 nucleotides) under Panax ginseng (ginseng). RNAcentral's name for it is "long non-coding RNA (PGIN_LNC019086)". Lineage: Eukaryota; Viridiplantae; Streptophyta; Magnoliopsida; Apiales; Araliaceae. The record is from RNAcentral.
UAUAUAUAUAUAUAGUCCAGCAUGUCGGAGUCGUUUUGGAUACAUGAAAUGUAGUUGCAAAUGAAGGCUCUCCCAGCUGCAGCACUAAAGCUAGCAGAGACCUGAAGGUAAAAACUAGGUCGAAAUUCCAAUGAUCAGGUACGUACGUACGUAGGAGAGAUAUAGAAGAAAUGUUAAUUUAAAUAAUGCAAAGUUUCUUGUUCUUCAACC